RNAcentral lists this long non-coding RNA (592 nucleotides) under Panax ginseng (ginseng). Its description in RNAcentral is "long non-coding RNA (PGIN_LNC013329)". The record is from RNAcentral. Lineage: Eukaryota; Viridiplantae; Streptophyta; Magnoliopsida; Apiales; Araliaceae.
AGUUCUAAAGGGAGGUGAAUCCUUGUUACAAGUAAUUAAUUAAUUGAGUAUUAUUAUUUAUUCCUUCUUGUGUGAAAUUUCUUCUGAUAAUCUGUUUUCAUUGAUUGCAUGCUAAUUGAUCUAAUUAAUUUAAUAUGGCCAAUUGAGUUAAUUUGAUCAUUAUCAUAUGCUAGAUUAAGAUUGGUAUUACGUGUAAUUGAUAUCUCUCUUCAUCACAAGUAGCAACUUGGUAAUAAUAAUUGUGGACAAACUUUUGUUUAUUGCUAAGAUUAUUAGAAAACAAGUUAAAUAAAUCGAGCUUAUGUGUUUGUUGCUUGGAUUAGCCUAAUUUUCUAUUUCUUAAUGUUUCUAUCAUAUUAAAUCUAGAGAGCUUAUUCUAGGUUAUAUGCUAGUUAGAAUCUGGUGGAGAGCUUGUUUCAUACAGUGAUAAUCUAAGGAGAAUUUCGGAUAGCAGAGCUUAUUGUUAUCUAGGGCUAAUAAUUUCAUUGAAGGAGAAAUAAUAAUUACUUGAUUAAUUGAUUGUUGUACUUGGUGAAACUGAACUGCAGAACUGAAGUUUUACAUAUUUGGUUAAUUUUAUCGUUAAUUCUUG